This 393-nucleotide ribosomal RNA is filed under the name uncultured bacterium. Its description in RNAcentral is "partial 16S ribosomal RNA". It matches the Rfam family "Bacterial small subunit ribosomal RNA", at positions 523 to 918 of the family's 1533-position model. The record is from RNAcentral.
AUACGGAGGAUGCGAGCGUUAUCCGGAUUUAUUGGGUUUAAAGGGAGCGUAGGUGGGAUAUUAAGUCAGCUGUGAAAGUUUGGGGCUCAACCUUAAAAUUGCAGUUGAUACUGGUUUCCUUGAGUACGGUACAGGUGGGCGGAAUUCGUGGUGUAGCGGUGAAAUGCUUAGAUAUCACGAAGAACUCCGAUCGCGAAGGCAGCUCACCGGGCCGGAACUGACACUGAUGCUCGAAAGUGCGGGUAUCAAACAGGAUUAGAUACCCUGGUAGUCCGCACAGUAAACGAUGAAUACUCGCUGUUUGCGAUACACUGUAGGCGGCCAAGCGAAAGCGUUAAGUAUUCCACCUGGGGAGUACGCCGGCAACGGUGAAACUCAAAUGAAUUGACGGGG